CUCCCAGGUUCUGCCUCUGCCCACAACAUGCUGAGAGCACCAAGCCAGGCUUAGGGGGCCCCUGGAUCCAGAGAGCAGGGGACAAACCCGGAGUAGAUGGCCCUGUGUCCUGUCCUGCCAGCCAGCUAAGGUUGAAAGCCUGAUCUGCGGCCACCAUGGACAAUGAGGAGGGUUUAAGGAUGAAGGCUGAUGGGAAGGUCUGAAUGCAGGGCCUGCUCUUCUGCUUCCCCUCGUAGCCAGCCUCCCUCUCGCUGACUCCCGACGUCUGGAUAUUGAAAACACCCUCAGCCUGGUUCCCUCA
Long non-coding RNA from Bubalus bubalis (water buffalo), 301 nucleotides. RefSeq lists it as uncharacterized. The transcript is spliced from 3 exons. NCBI's taxonomy places the organism in Eukaryota, Metazoa, Chordata, Mammalia, Artiodactyla, Bovidae. The record is from RefSeq and is a predicted model, not a curated record.